GUCUCAAUAUAACUAGAGUCCUUACACCUUUCCUAUCUACUGGAUACAGUCUUACUGAACCAAACGGGGGUCAUAGACAAUCAGCGUCAAUAAGACACAAAAAGGCUACUCACCGCAAUGGUUUUGCUGAUCCAUCCAUCCCACUUCUAGACACCAAGCUGAAAGGGUUAAUGUUGUAAUGGACUCUAAUCCCCUCGGUUCUCGAUCCCUCGGUCACCAUAAUCAAUGUUGA
This 232-nucleotide long non-coding RNA is filed under the name Pelobates cultripes (western spadefoot toad). Lineage: Eukaryota; Metazoa; Chordata; Amphibia; Anura; Pelobatidae. The record is from RNAcentral.